ACUCCUACGGGAGGCAGCAGUGGGGAAUAUUGGACAAUGGGGGAAACCCUGAUCCAGCCAUGCCGCGUGAGCGAUGAAGGCCUUAGGGUUGUAAAGCUCUUUCAGGUGGGAAGAUAAUGACGGUACCACCAGAAGAAGCCCCGGCUAACUCCGUGCCAGUAGCCGCGGUAAUACGGAGGGGGCUAGCGUUGUUCGGAAUUACUGGGCGUAAAGCGCACGUAGGCGGAUUGGAAAGUUGGGGGUGAAAUCCCCGGGGCUCAACCCCGGAACGGCCUUCAAAACUCCCAGUCUAGAGGUC
RNAcentral lists this ribosomal RNA (298 nucleotides) under uncultured bacterium. RNAcentral's name for it is "partial 16S ribosomal RNA". It matches the Rfam family "Bacterial small subunit ribosomal RNA", at positions 335 to 649 of the family's 1533-position model. The record is from RNAcentral.